GGGUUGUGAGGUUAAGCGACUAAGCGUACACGGUGGAUGCCCUGGCAGUCAGAGGCGAUGAAGGACGUGCUAAUCUGCGAUAAGCGCCGGUAAGGUGAUAUGAACCGUUAUAACCGGCGAUUUCCGAAUGGGGAAACCCAGUGUGAUUCGUCACACUAUCAUUAACUGAAUCCAUAGGUUAAUGAGGCGAACCGGGGGAACUGAAACAUCUAAGUACCCCGAGGAAAAGAAAUCAACCGAGAUUCCCCCAGUAGCGGCGAGCGAACGGGGAGGAGCCCAGAGCCUGAAUCAGCAUGUGUGUUAGUGGAAGCGUCUGGAAAGGCGCGCGAUACAGGGUGACAGCCCCGUACACAAAAGCGCAUGUGCUGUGAGCUCGAUGAGUAGGGCGGGACACGUGGUAUCCUGUCUGAAUAUGGGGGGACCAUCCUCCAAGGCUAAAUACUCCUGACUGACCGAUAGUGAACCAGUACCGUGAGGGAAAGGCGAAAAGAACCCCGGCGAGGGGAGUGAAAAAGAACCUGAAACCGUGUACGUACAAGCAGUGGGAGCCCCACCACUAAGCCAGUGGUGAACUCCACAUACGCAUCCUUUGCUGAGGAUACGGUUAACGGAGCGAAAGCGACGUUCAACCGCAAAAGAAGCAGAGGGGGCUUAGUGGUGGGGUGACUGCGUACCUUUUGUAUAAUGGGUCAGCGACUUAUAUUCUGUAGCAAGGUUAACCGCAUAGGGGAGCCGGAGGGAAACCGAGUCUUAAUUGGGCGUUAAGUUGCAGGGUAUAGACCCGAAACCCGGUGAUCUAGCCAUGGGCAGGUUGAAGGUUGGGUAACACUAACUGGAGGACCGAACCGACUAAUGUUGAAAAAUUAGCGGAUGACCUGUGGCUGGGGGUGAAAGGCCAAUCAAACCGGGAGAUAGCUGGUUCUCCCC
RNAcentral lists this ribosomal RNA (927 nucleotides) under Salmonella enterica subsp. enterica serovar Agama. Its description in RNAcentral is "partial 23S ribosomal RNA". It matches the Rfam family "Bacterial large subunit ribosomal RNA", at positions 1 to 860 of the family's 2925-position model. The record is from RNAcentral. Lineage: Bacteria; Pseudomonadati; Pseudomonadota; Gammaproteobacteria; Enterobacterales; Enterobacteriaceae.